CCCCUGGUGGUCUAGUGGUUAGGAUGUGGUGCUCUCACCGCCGCAGCCCGGGUUCAAUUCCCGGUCAGGGAA
Molecule: transfer RNA, 72 nt
Filed under: Manacus vitellinus (golden-collared manakin)
Lineage: Eukaryota; Metazoa; Chordata; Aves; Passeriformes; Pipridae
Rfam family: tRNA
About the family: Transfer RNA (tRNA) molecules are approximately 80 nucleotides in length. Their secondary structure includes four short double-helical elements and three loops (D, anti-codon, and T loops).
Source: Rfam by way of RNAcentral